RNAcentral lists this ribosomal RNA (253 nucleotides) under uncultured bacterium. Its description in RNAcentral is "partial 16S ribosomal RNA". It matches the Rfam family "Bacterial small subunit ribosomal RNA", at positions 524 to 776 of the family's 1533-position model. The record is from RNAcentral.
UACGUAGGGUGCGAGCGUUGUCCGGAAUUAUUGGGCGUAAAGGGCUCGUAGGCGGUCCGUCACGUCGGGAGUGAAAACUUGGGGCUUAACCCCAAGCCUGCUUCCGAUACGGGCGGACUGGAGUUCGGCAGGGGAGACUGGAAUUCCUGGUGUAGCGGUGAAAUGCGCAGAUAUCAGGAGGAACACCGGUGGCGAAGGCGGGUCUCUGGGCCGAUACUGACGCUGAGGAGCGAAAGCGUGGGGAGCGAACAGG